UUUCCGGUUGAUCCCGCCGGACCUGACUGCUAUCGGAUUGGUACUAAGCCAUGUGAGUCGUUGUGGCAAUACAAGGCAUACGGCUCAGUAACACGUAGUCAAUCUAACCUAUGGACGGGGAUAACCUCGGGAAACUGAGGAUAAAACCCGAUAGAUCAUAAUGCCUGGAACGGUUUAUGGUUCAAAUGAUUCGUCGCCGUAGGGUGGGACUGCGGCCUAUCAGCUUGUUGGUGAGGUAAUGGCCCACCAAGGCUAUUACAGGUACGGGCUCUGAGAGGAGAAGCCCGGAGAUGGGUACUGAGACACGGACCCAGGCCCUAUGGGGCGCAGCAGGCGAGAAACCUUUGCAAUGUGCGCAAGCACGACAAGGUUAAUCCGAGUGUUUCCUGUUAAAGGAAUCUUUUGUUAGUUCUAAAACCACUAUUGAAUAAGGGGUGGGCAAGUUCUGGUGUCAGCCGCCGCGCUAAAACCAGCACCUCAAGUGGUCAGGAUGAUUAUUGGGCCUAAAGCAUCCGUAGCCUGUUCUGUAAGUUUCCGGUUAAAUCCAUUAGCUCAACUAAUGGGCUGCCGAAAAUACUGCAGAACUAGGGAGUGGGAGAGGUAGACGGUACUCGGUAGGAAGGGGUAAAAUCCUUUGAUCUAUUGAUGACCACCAGUGGCGAAGCCGGUCUACCAGAACACGUUCGACGGUGAGGGAUGAAAGCUGGGGGAACAAACCGGAUUAGAUACCCGGGUAGUCCCAGCUGUAAACGAUGCAGACUCGAUGAUGCGCUGGCUGUGGCCAGUGCAGUGCCGCAGGGAAGCCGUUAAGUUUGCCGCCUGGGAAGUACGUACGCAGGUAUGAAACUUAAAGGAAUUGGCGGGGGAGCACCA
RNAcentral lists this ribosomal RNA (873 nucleotides) under uncultured archaeon. RNAcentral describes it as "bacterial SSU rRNA". It matches the Rfam family "Archaeal small subunit ribosomal RNA", at positions 1 to 881 of the family's 1478-position model. The record is from RNAcentral.